Molecule: transfer-messenger RNA, 387 nt
Filed under: Burkholderiales
Lineage: Bacteria; Pseudomonadati; Pseudomonadota; Betaproteobacteria
Also listed under: 2 other names
Description: Variovorax sp900114785 Standard tmRNA
Rfam family: transfer-messenger RNA
About the family: Bacterial tmRNA, also known as 10Sa RNA or SsrA, is named for its dual tRNA and mRNA-like properties. Its role is to liberate the mRNA from a stalled ribosome. To accomplish this part of the tmRNA is used as a reading frame that ends in a translation stop signal.
Source: RNAcentral
GGGGCUGCAUUGGUUUCGACGUGGGUUCGGAAUCGCAGCGGGGCAUGUCGAGCUGAAUGCGCUCGUAAAACAGAUUCAAACAAACUAACUGCAAACGACGAACGUUUCGCACUCGCUGCUUAAUAACCAGUGAGCCUUGCAACAGUUGGCCGAUGGGCUGGGCAAGGGGGCACUAGAGCAAUCUGGCGCCUCCCGGCUGCAAGGUAAUCUACAUGGGCUGGCUUCGAUCCGGGUACCUUGGGUCGGGGCGAGAAAAUAGGGUGCUGGCGGCCGGUGUAGCGUGCGACUGCGCGACACCGGUGGCGAGAUCCAAAUCAGAUCGCUAAACAUGUAGAACUGCGCGAAGAAGGCUUGCGGACGGGGGUUCGAAUCCCCCCAGCUCCACCA